This 298-nucleotide long non-coding RNA is filed under the name Durio zibethinus. RNAcentral's name for it is "long non-coding RNA (DZIB_LNC002068)". The record is from RNAcentral. Lineage: Eukaryota; Viridiplantae; Streptophyta; Magnoliopsida; Malvales; Malvaceae.
AGCAAAGGCCUACGACCGAGCCGCUUUUAACCUACGGGGCUCGAAAGCGAUUCUUAAUUUCCCUCUUGAAGCUGGGAGGUUGGAUGCAAGCGCCGUUGACGGAGAGAAGAAACGGAGCAGGGAUGAUGGCGAAGGCGUAGAAAGACAAGUAAAGUCGGUGAAGAGAGAAACCGAUGACCUGCCGAAAGCGAGAGAUAACGGUGAUAUGCCUUUGACGCCGUCAAUUUGGACAGCAUUUUUGGAUUGGGACAAAGACACGAAGGGGGUUUUUAACGUGCCACCAUUGUCGCCGUUAUCC